UGCAUCGCUAUUCAAUUUGCGAAAUUUUUAAUUAAGCUUUUGUUUUUUCUUCUUUUUCUUUUCUUGUUGUGAAAAUUAAUCGAAGUAAACCAGUUGGAAAAACAACGCAACAACUUACCCUAAACGGAGGAAAACGGAAAGAAAGCAAACGAAAAACAAUCAGUUUUACCUGAUUGACAAGGACGCCUUCACCUGCGGAAUAAGCUUCCCAGACACCGAUGAGAAUAUCAGAUUGCUUGGUAAAGAAAGAAGAAAUCAACUUACACUGAGAACAAGCAAUACAGAAAGGUGAGACCCAUAAAUCCGAACACGGAAAGCAGGAUCGAGAUCACAAACGGGGCAGUCCAAUGACGGGAUUGAAGCACCAACUAUGAAGAAAUACGAAACUGCAUCUUGUGAUCAUUUCAGUUAGUUUUUUUUUAAGGAUACCUUCAGGCUGACGACAACAAUGACGCCAUUGUAGACUAGUGUUCCGAAACUCCAAAAGUCCAAAAUGAGACCACGUGAAUCAAAAGGUGUCUCUGACUCCCAAAGUAGUAUACAACCGAAAAAGAUGACCACCGAAUGCCAAAGACCUUAAAUGAAGACAUUGUAGAGAUUAGAAUGAACGACUAUGGAUCAUUCAAGGCUUUUCACGCACCUAAUAGAGUCCACUUGAAAAACUGAAA
Molecule: long non-coding RNA, 668 nt
Organism: Daphnia magna
Lineage: Eukaryota; Metazoa; Arthropoda; Branchiopoda; Diplostraca; Daphniidae
Exons: 2
Source: RefSeq, a predicted model, not a curated record